This is a non-coding RNA of Stegodyphus dumicola, 73 nucleotides long. The record is from the annotation of a RefSeq genome assembly. NCBI's taxonomy places the organism in Eukaryota, Metazoa, Arthropoda, Arachnida, Araneae, Eresidae.
GGCUUCGUAGUGUAGUGGUUAUCACGCUUGACGCGAAUUCGAGAGGUUCAUGGUUCGAUUCCAGGCGAAGGCG